Molecule: ribosomal RNA, 428 nt
Filed under: uncultured soil bacterium
Lineage: Bacteria
Description: bacterial SSU rRNA
Rfam family: Bacterial small subunit ribosomal RNA
Source: RNAcentral
AGAUUGAACGCUGGCGGCAUGCCUAACACAUGCAAGUCGAACGGGAGUAGCAAUACUCUAGUGGCGGACGGGUGAGGAAUACGUAGGAAUUUGCCCUUAAGUGGGGGAUAACCCGGGGAAACCCGGAUUAAUACCGCAUGACCUCGAAAGAGCAAAGUGGGGGAUCGCAAGACCUCACGCUUUUGGAGAAGCCUACGUCGGAUUAGCUAGUUGGUGAGGUAAUGGCUCACCAAGGCGACGAUCCGUAACUGGUCUGAGAGGAUGAUCAGUCACACCGGAACUGAGACACGGUCCGGACUCCUACGGGAGGCAGCAGUGGGAAUAGUUGGACAAGUGGGCGCAAGGCCUGGACUCCAGCAAUGCCGCGUGUGUGAAGAAGGUCCUUGGUAGUAAAGCACGUUUAAGUAGGUAAGAAAACGUACGCGUAC